RNAcentral lists this long non-coding RNA (2005 nucleotides) under Sus scrofa (pig). RNAcentral describes it as "lncRNA (ENSSSCG00000055666.1)". The record is from RNAcentral. Lineage: Eukaryota; Metazoa; Chordata; Mammalia; Artiodactyla; Suidae.
GAAUUAGGAAAACAAAACAAAUCUCAGGGGAACGAAUUUGUGUAACUAGAAACUAUCUCAAGAGAAUUAUUUAUUGCAUUCUGUGAUACUUGGGAGCAUGUUUCAUACAAUCAGAUUUGUACCUGGAAAUAAUUUGUUGUCGGAAAUAAGAAACCCUCCGCUCAACUGAUGGCUUGGAGGGAGAGAAGAAGAAGUUAUCACAAGCUGCUGUUUUAGUUGUUGGGAUUUGUCCCUUUCUCAAUGCUUUAGUUUGUGCUCGAAGCAGCACUGAAAUGCAUUUUACAUAUUGCAAUCUGCCCAUUUUUAUUUGAAAAGAUUGAAAUGUUUGGGGUGGAAGAGGGUGUUUUGGAAGGGGUGCCUUCCAUACCCCAGACCUCAUCCCUUUAUCCACGCCGUCACCCCUCCAUAUCUUCAUUGUCUCUACUUGUUGAACUCCUAUGCAUCAUGCAAGGCCCACAGAGAAUCACCUCUUCACAGAAGCCUUCCUAAUUGCUGCGAGCAGAUACUGCUGUGUGCCUCCAUUGGCCCACAGAGAGUUUUGCAACAUUUUACCUCUUGUGAGAGUUGUCUAUCGUUGUGUCAUUGUUCUAAUUAGAGAGUCUUCUCUUGGUAGGUAGCCUAUUCCAGCUCUAGAGCAGGGAUUGUAAACUAUAGCCCAGAGGUCAAAUCCAGCCCCCUGCCUGUUUUUAUAUAGCCCUUGGAAUAAGAAUGGUUUUGAUAUAUUUAAUUGGUUGAAAAAAAGUCCAAAGAAGAAUACUAUUUCAUGACAUAAAAUGAAAAUGAUAUAAAAUUCAGCUUUCCUUGUCCAUAAUUAAUUUUUUUUUUUGUCUUUUUGCCAUUUCUUGGGCCACUCCCACAGCAUAGGGGUCAAAUCGGAGCUGUAGCCACCAGCCUACAGCAGGGCCACAGCAACUUGGGAUCCAAGCCGCGUCUGCAACCUACACCAUGGCUCACCGCAACGCCGGAUCCUUAACCCACUAGUGAGGCCAGGGAUUGAACUCACAACCUCAUGGUUCCUAGUCGGAUUCGUUAACCACUGCGCCACAACGGGAACUCCCAUAAUUAAACAGCAGAGCUGAGUAGUUGCAACAAAGACCAUCUGGCCCAAAAAGCCUGGAAUAUUUUCUAUCCGGCCCUUUACAGAAAACAUUUACUGACCUCUGUUCUAGAGCAGGUGUUCUAAAAUUUUAGUGUGUAUCACAGUAACCUGGGGGCCUCGUUAACACAGCCUGUAGGGCCCCAGCCCUAUAAUUUCAAAUAGGAGGUCUGAGGUGGGUCCUGAGGAUUUGAAUUUCUUUCUUUUUUCUUUUCUUUUCUUUUGUCUUUUUAGGGCUACACCCGAGGCAUAUGGAGGCUCCCGGCCUAGGGGUCACAUUGGAGCUAUAACUGCCAGCCUAUGCCACAGCCACGUCAGUGAGGGAUCCAAGCUUUGUCUGCAGCCUACACCAGAGCUCACGGCAACACCGGAUCCUUAACCCACUGAGCCAGGCCAUGGAUCGAACUCACAACCUCAUGGUUCCUAGUCGGAUUUGUUAACCAGUGAGCCACGACGGGAACUCUGGAACCCACACUUUUCAAACCCCUCAAUUAACCUCUCUGAAUCUCAGUUUCUUCAUCCGUAAAAUGGGGCAUGUGAUAACCAGGUUGUUUGAAGUUUCAGUAGAUAAAGUCUGGGAAUGUUCCUGAAACACGUGGUAGGGAUUCAAUGAAUGGGGACUUCUUUCUUUUCCUCCCUCCCUCCUUCCCUUUUGCUAGUCUCUCUCCCUUUCCCUUCUCUGAGAAGGAACAGUAGGUACUUAUUUUUGCACUGCCUCUGAAUUGCAUUCCUUCCUGAGCUUCUUGGGAAUUUUACAGCCGUGUACAGCUCAUGGUGUCCUUCCUCCAACAUGGCGCUUGUCAUGUCACCCAAGCACAGCAGGCUGGGACAGCCCUUCUUUCCUAAUUCACUUGAGUGCAUGCUCUGUACAAGUUUCUGUACUUACUAAGGAAGAAAAUUAAAAUCAAG